RNAcentral lists this ribosomal RNA (95 nucleotides) under uncultured bacterium. RNAcentral describes it as "partial 16S ribosomal RNA". The record is from RNAcentral.
ACCGCCCGUCACACCAUGGGAGUGGGUCCACCAGAAGCCGGUCGCUUAACCCGCAAGGGAUGGCGCCGACCACGGUGAGAUUCAUGACUGGGGUG